RNAcentral lists this ribosomal RNA (1000 nucleotides) under Corynebacterium sp. CCUG 69979. Its description in RNAcentral is "bacterial SSU rRNA". It matches the Rfam family "Bacterial small subunit ribosomal RNA", at positions 1 to 1011 of the family's 1533-position model. The record is from RNAcentral. Lineage: Bacteria; Bacillati; Actinomycetota; Actinomycetes; Mycobacteriales; Corynebacteriaceae.
UUUGUGGAGAGUUUGAUCCUGGCUCAGGAUGAACGCUGGCGGCGUGCUUAACACAUGCAAGUCGAACGGAAAGGCCGAAGCUUGCUUCGGUACUCGAGUGGCGAACGGGUGAGUAACACGUGGGUGAUCUGCCCUGCACUUUGGGAUAAGCCUGGGAAACUGGGUCUAAUACCAGAUAGGACCACGUCUUGGAUGGUGUGGUGGAAAGUUUUUUCGGUGUGGGAUGAGCUCGCGGCCUAUCAGCUUGUUGGUGGGGUAAUGGCCUACCAAGGCGUCGACGGGUAGCCGGCCUGAGAGGGUGUACGGCCACAUUGGGACUGAGAUACGGCCCAGACUCCUACGGGAGGCAGCAGUGGGGAAUAUUGCACAAUGGGCGCAAGCCUGAUGCAGCGACGCCGCGUGGGGGAUGACGGCCUUCGGGUUGUAAACUCCUUUCGCCAGGGACGAAGCGUAAGUGACGGUACCUGGAUAAGAAGCACCGGCUAACUACGUGCCAGCAGCCGCGGUAAUACGUAGGGUGCGAGCGUUGUCCGGAAUUACUGGGCGUAAAGAGCUCGUAGGUGGUUUGUCGCGUCGUUUGUGUAAUACCGCAGCUUAACUGCGGGGUUGCAGGCGAUACGGGCAUAACUUGAGUGCUGUAGGGGAGACUGGAAUUCCUGGUGUAGCGGUGGAAUGCGCAGAUAUCAGGAGGAACACCGAUGGCGAAGGCAGGUCUCUGGGCAGUAACUGACGCUGAGGAGCGAAAGCAUGGGUAGCGAACAGGAUUAGAUACCCUGGUAGUCCAUGCCGUAAACGGUGGGCGCUAGGUGUGAGUCCCUUCCACGGGGUUCGUGCCGUAGCUAACGCAUUAAGCGCCCCGCCUGGGGAGUACGGCCGCAAGGCUAAAACUCAAAGGAAUUGACGGGGGCCCGCACAAGCGGCGGAGCAUGUGGAUUAAUUCGAUGCAACGCGAAGAACCUUACCUGGGCUUGACAUGCACCGGAUCGCUGCAGAGAUGUAG